This 76-nucleotide small RNA is filed under the name Enterobacter ludwigii. RNAcentral's name for it is "isrK". It matches the Rfam family "isrK Hfq binding RNA". Lineage: Bacteria; Pseudomonadati; Pseudomonadota; Gammaproteobacteria; Enterobacterales; Enterobacteriaceae. The record is from RNAcentral.
ACAGCCGCAAAAUCUGCUGUCGGGAUUAGCCUCCCGGAUAUCAUUCAUGACGCACAGUCGCGUUAGCGGCUUUUUU